Peromyscus californicus insignis is the source of this 15307-nucleotide long non-coding RNA. RefSeq lists it as uncharacterized. NCBI's taxonomy places the organism in Eukaryota, Metazoa, Chordata, Mammalia, Rodentia, Cricetidae. The transcript is spliced from 3 exons. The record is from RefSeq and is a predicted model, not a curated record.
GGUGAGGGAAGCAGAGAGGAAAAACAGGACCAAGGACUUGCCUCCAGUGAUCUAUUUUCGUUCUGCUAGAUCUCACUCUCAGAUGAGGUCGGGCUUGUUCAGAAUGGAAUGGCCAUACUCCAGGUCUCACUUUUUGUACACCAUCUCCUGACCUACCAGGGGUUGAAGACCCACUUUAGAGGAUGCUUAUCCAAGCCACAGCAAAAACAUUCCAGAAUUAGAUCAAGUGUGGUGGCACACAUCUUUAAUCCCAGCAUUUGAAGGACAGAGAGAGGCUGGCCUCUGUGAGUUCAAGGACAGACUGAUCUAUACAGCAAGUUGUAGGCAGCCAGAGCUCCACAGAGAGACCUUGGAACUGGAUGGUGAUGACAAAGGAGUGUGCUGUAAACUGGAAGUACCAUAAGUCAUUCAGCAAUGCACUUCAAGGGGUUGAUUGUGUGGUGUAUGAACCACAGCUCAAUGAAUUUGUUGUUUCAAAAAAGGAAAAAUCAUUGUUUGAUUUUAUUACUCUCACUCUCUUUAUUGAAUUCAUAUUGAGAUGCACAAUUUUUAAUUAACUAAACAGGCUUCGUUAACUAUUGUUUUCAUUUUUUUUUGUUUGUUUUUUGUUUUUUGUCUUUUGUUUUUCAAGACAGGGUUUCUCUGUGUAGCCCUGACAGUCCUGGGACUUACUCUGUAGACCAGGCUGACCUUGAACUCAAGAGAUCUGUCUAAACUAUUUUCUCAUUGGGUUUUUAUUUUGCUUCCUUCUGUUUUAUUUGCCAUUUCUGUUGGUUUUGGCUUUGAGUGUAAGUCUUCAUUCAGUGUUUCUGCUCCCCUGCCCCAGGGCUGCCAGUCCUGUGAUGAGAGACAGAGAGGUGAGGCUACAGAUACCUCAACAAAAAGUGCCUAUAAGUCAUCUGGCUAAAAUCACACAGUAAGUGGUAGCAGUUCAGGAAGGGUCAGGACCCAUGGAACCUGGUGGUCAUUUAACCCCACGGCCCAGUCCACAGAAGAAUCUGAGGCUCGGGAGUUAAGCUGCCCAAUAACACAUGGCUGUGACAUGCUGCCUCGGUAGACCCACCUCUCAUGUCGAGAGGCCCUCGGAGACUGUUGAGGAUUCUCAGGGUUAUGUACAGUUCCUCUUGGCUCCAUGAUAGGCCUGGGCAGCUGAAGGUGUCCUCAGAUAUAGUAAUGACUUACAAGAUGAGUUCGCAACUACUCAUUGCUGUGCCAUGUGCUAGGCAUUCUAUGGGGACUGGAACCUGGCAGUGCAUCCGUUGUCCACCCUGUGGCUUCAUGGGGUCUGGAUAUUCCCAAGAGCAGCCUUGGCAGCUGCCACUAAAAACUUGAAAUGGACCAGGUAUUCCAGGGCCCAGCCCUGCGACAUGAGUCUGCUGAUGUGGGUAGAAUCUGUGUUUUUUACACUGACUGCAGCUGGUUCUGGUGAGCAGCGAGGGUUAGGACUUAUAGGCCUGGUAUAUCCUCCCACAACAUGGCUAUUUAUUUGUGUGUGUUUGUGUAUAUGUAUGUGUGUACAUGUGUUGUGCAUGCACAUGUGGAGGCCAGUGGCUGGUGUUAGGCAUCUUCCUCUAUAACUUCACAUAGUUUUAAAUUUUAUUUUCUAAAGACUUGUUUUUAUUUUUCAUUAUAUGUCUAUGUCUGUGUGUGGCCUAAUGAGUGAAUGCUCUGUGUGUGUGUGUGUGUGUGUGUGUGUGUGUGUGUGUGUACCCAGAGGUCAGAAGAGCGCAUCAGAUCCCCAAGAGCAGCACCUGUUGUUAACUUCUGAGUCUUCUCCCCAGGCCCCUCCAUCUUAUUUUCUAGGUGGGGUCUCCCACUAAACCUGGAAUUCACUGUCUCAGCUAUACUGCCUCACCAGAAAGUCACGUGUGUAGACGUGUGUAGACGAAUUUCUAAAUGGUCUUAUUAAAUAAAACACGGAGCCAGAAAUUUGGGCGAAAGCCUUAGAGAGAUCAGGGAAAUAUGGAAAGCCACCAGCCAACCUUACCUCACCAACUCCGCAGCUUCCAAGGAGAGUGUCUUCUUGUCUACCCAGGCUUAUAUACCUUGCUUUUCUGCUCUCUCAUUGGCUCUUAGCCCAACUACCUCACUUUCUCUUCCUACACAGCUCUGUCACUGUCUGUCUGUCUGUACAGACCUCCAGGUCUCUAUGAUUGGUACUGGGAUUAAAAGCGUGUGUCACCACUUGUGACUCUGUUCCCUAGUGUGGCCUUGAACACACAGAGACCCUGCCUGCUAAGUGAUAGGAUUAAGGGCGUGUGCUGCCUGACUUUGUUUACUUCAAAUGGCUGGCCUUUUCCCCCUGAUCUCAGGCAAGCUUUAUUUAUUAAAGCACAAAUAAAAUAUCACCACAUUUCAGCACAAAUAAAAUAUCACCAAAUUUCCCCCUUUUUUGUCUACUAAAAAAUAAAAAAAUUUAAAAAGUUAUAAGUAAUAUAAGAAAAACUAUAUACAAUAAGUACAAUAACUAUAUACAAUAUGUACAAGCAAUAAAUACAUCAACAAUGUCUAGUCCAUUUGCAUUUGACAAAUUCAGAGAAAAUAUUCCAUUAUCUAUCCUAUUUUGAUGAGUCCAAAGCGUACCUAAUUCAGUUUCUAUCCUAACUUAUAUUACCAACAGAAAACUAUCUUAUGAUGUCUUUCAAACUUAUACACUUAAUACCUCUUAGUGAAUUUUUUUUCUGAAUUUCUUAACAAGGAAAACCGUAACUAUAACUAUCUAAUCUUCAACUCCCUCAGAGACCCGAGAAGGAAAUAAUAUUACCUAGUUAAAAAAGGAGUGCAAACAAGCGACUUCUAAAAAAUGAGUUAUGACGGAAACAGCCUGCUGCCUGGACAGUGACCCGAGGUUUCUCUGCAUGUUGGGGUAUCACCUUCAGCCUACAGACUCAUUUAUGAAUUAAGAUGUACACAAGGCCUACAGUUUGAACUCACGUUCAGUCCAAGUAUUCCAUAUACCAGAUAAACUUGAAUUCCACCAGUUAUGAUUGAGGAUUUUAAAUCCUGGAAAUUGCUGGUGUUUUUGGAAUUCGUCUGCCUAUUCUUCUCGGCUUGUGGGUGGCUUCAUCUCCUUUGUUAAAUGCCAAUCUACCAUUGAGAGGUAGACUCCCAUCAGCCUAGUUACUUUUUCAAGAAUAACUGUUUCAGCUACUGUUCCACUGCACACCAGAAGCCAUCAGUCCACUGCCAGUUUAGCUGCCUUCAAAGAAAGGGGCACUGUACUUUUUCCGGAAUGCAAAGCCACUUCAGCGAUGGUGCCAUAUUGUCCUGGCCUCAGAGGACACCUGUUGCUAAAGCCACAACCACACUUUUUUUGGCAAAGGAUUGGUAGUCCUUUGUUUUGUGUCCUGUUUGUCCAUUUUGGAUAGCAUACUGUCCACAGUCAAUGCGAGGGCACUUUGCUGUUCAGUGGCUAACUUUUGCCACAAUGAAAGUUAGCUCCAUAUGCAGUUUCUUCAAUGCCCAUAUCUUUUCUGAAGUAGAUUGGUGCAGCCAGGAACAGACAUGUCUCAUAGUCAUAAAAAAAGAAAAAAAAAUCUAUGUUAUUAAAUCAUUUUAAAUGCCAUAAUCUGUAGAUCUCUGAAGGAUUUGAAGAUUACCUGUCUAUCUAAAAUAUGUCUCUGCUUGACCUUAAAAACAUACCUAAUAUGACUACAAGUUCGAUUGUAAUGUCUAACUACUAACUUUCAUAUCUUUAUAUCCUAAUAGUUGGUAAUAAUAACAUUCAAGGAUUAGCAAAUUGCAUUACAUUGUUAAAUGAACUGUAUAGGCACAAUAUCUUGAACAAGAUUAGAAAUAUAUGUACAGAAUUUUUUAACAAUAUCAAUCUAAAUAUAUAUAAUUUGUAUACAAUUUAUAAAAAUCCAAUCCAAUGUAAAGUAUUUAAAACUAGUAGUUGUCUUUUAAAAGUAGAUUCAAUAAUCUACCUUUUUAUCUAUAUCAUAUCUAUAUCCUCUCUUUUUUCUUUUCAGAGUACAUUCAAUAAUCUACCCUUUAUUCUAUCAUUUCUAUCUCUCUUUUUUUUUCAGAGUAGACUCAGUAAUCUACCUCUUCUCUAUAUCCUCUUUUUUCUUUCAAACAAGAACCUUAUAUCUAAUCUCCUUUGUUUAGCCCUUUUUCCUGACCAUUAACAAUAACAACUUGUAACCAACCAUACCAAACAAUGAAAAUUAUCCCAAACCCAAAUCCCAUUGAAAGACCAAAAACCACCUGCCCCACCUCUUGGGAAUAUGGGUGUCGUGUUCUUAAGAUUACUUCCUGCUGUUUGUGGGUGAAGGCAUCUUUAGGGGAUCCUGAAAAGAAAAGUUUUGGGUUAAUUGUCAAGUUCCGGGAGAGGUAGCUGAAUCAUUUGUUGUCCAGUCUCUGCAUAAUGCAAAAGUGCAAGGAUUAUCUCAGUUCCUUGUUUAAAUAGUCUGUGAGGCUAGAUCAUCUCAGCUAGCCAUCUCAUAAUUGUUCUGAGCAGUUUGUAGUUCAAAGCUAUCUUUGGGUGAUGUUUGUCAGCUUAGUGAUAUUAUUAUUGUCCUCAUGAAAUCAUCAUUGUGAGGCCCCAUCAUCUUUCUAGAGACUUCAAAUUUGCUGUUAGGCCUGGUCAUGAUUCCCUGCAGAAAACUGAUAGAGACUCCAACACAAAGCCAUGUAUAGGCAGCUAAAUGAAGCCUUUUUUCUAGAAUUAGUUAGUACUCUAUAAGAUCCAUUAAUAUCAUAACAAAAGUUUAAAAUAUAUAUAAAUAUAUAUAUAUAUAAAUCUGAUAAAUUUUGAUAUGAAAUUCAUACCUUAUGAAAAGUUUAAAGAAUCAAAAUAGAACCAAAGAAUUGAGAUUAGUGGCAAUAGAAUAUUCUCUUAAUUUUUUUGGUUUUCUUCUGUCCCAUAUCAGAUGACUCUUUCUUGUGACAUGAUACAGAGAUUUUGCAUUUUCCUUUUAACAAAAUGCUUGGGUUUAGAGAAAAAGAGAGCCAUUCUCCAACUCCAAAGCCAGCUUUAAUUUUUAAUUGAACUGUGACUACAGAAAGAACUUUGUGUUAAGUAUUUUUAGAGAAGAGCAGAAAUAAACAUUUAGGAAGAUUUAUGAAAUUUUAUAUGUGAUAUACCAAUAGGCCAAUUUACUCUUUCUCUUGGGACAUUUUUUUCUACAUGAUUUGUCCUUUUUCUUGAGAUGUCUCAUUUGUCCAGUGUUCUUUAGAUUCCUUAGUCUUUAUUCUCCUGAAAGACAAAAACAAAAACUCUCCCCCAAGCCUAACUUUGGGGAGGUUCCCUUUUGGCAAGUUAUAUAUGAUUAAAUGAAAAGCAUUUGUUAGUGGUAUAAGUUAGUUUAAUUUGGAUGGUCAUGCUGGUUGAUAAAGUAUCACCUUUUCUAAUUAAGAGGUCUCUCUUGUUCAAAUCAAACCUUUAUCGAUUUUGAUGGUAUCCACAGCUUAUCUUCUCCUGUAGAAACAAAAGCAAAACCUCAUCCCCAACGUAACACAUAUCCUGGUUUCCAUUCUGAGGUCAGCACAUCUUUAAAGUAUAUAUAGGCUGAUUUAAUUCUGUAGUUUUUUUUUUUUAUUAUCCAAUGUCUCUUCACAGCUAUUGUUCCUUUCUCAUUAGCAUUGAGAAAAUUCAAAGUUAAUAGAGCAUUAUACAAUCUAUUUCUGGGGGGUUUUUGUUACCCCUUUCUGUUCAUUUAGCAUAUCCUUUAGAGUUCUGUUUGCUCUUUCUAUAACUGCUUGGCAUGUAGAAUUAUGUGGUAUACCUAUAAUAUGCUUUAUAUUCUAAUAAACAAAAAACUGUUUCAUUUCACCAGAGACAUAUGCUGGAGCAUUGUCAGUUUUGAUUUGUGUAGGUAUACUCAUGAUGGCCAUAACUUCUAGCAAAUGCAUGGUUACAGAAUCAGCUUUUUUCAGAACUCAAAGCAGUUGCCCAUUGAAAUUCUGAAUAAGUAUCAAUAGUGUGGUGUACAUAUUUCAGUUUUCCAAAUUCUGCGAAGUGAAACACAUCCAUCUGCCAGAUUUCAUUCCUCUGAGUACCCUUUGGGUUACAUCCUGCCAGUAAUGGAGUCUGAUUGUAAAAAGAACAAGUAGGACAUUUCCUUACAAUUUCCUUGGCUUGUUGCCAGGUUAUGGAAAAAUCUUUUUUUAAACCUUUACUAUUGACAUGAUGUUAUCUAUGAAAUUCUGAGGCCUCCAGGACAUUUCCUAUCAAUACUUUAUCGAUCUCAUCAUUACCUUGUGCUAGAGGGCCUGGCAGACCUGUAUGGGAUCAGAUGUGAGUUUUAUAUAUAAAGGAUGCUUCCUAUACCUGAUUAUAUCUUGUAACUGAAUAAAUAACAAAGUUAAUUCUGACUCAUCAGGAAUAAAUUCUACAGUCUCAAUAUGUAAGACCACCCUUUCAGCAUCAAAUCCAUUAAUACCAACAGAAUAGCAUACAAUUCCGAUUUUUGAACCAAAUUAUAAGGACUUUAAACCACUUUACUUAAAUUUUCUGACUUGUAACCUGCCUUUCCUUGUUUGUUUGCAUCUGUAUAAAAUGUUCAGGCUUCAGAUAUGGGUGUUUCCCAAACAAUGUGAGGCAGAAUCCAAUCAGCUCUCUUUAUAAGUUGAAUUCUAUCACUUUUGGGAUAUUUGCUGUUGAUCUCUCCCAAAAAAUUACUGCAAGCUCUUUGGCAAGGUUCACUUUCUGCCAUAAUUUACCGAUGUCCUCCUUAGUUAAAGAUACUACAAUUUCUGCUGUGUCUCUUCCUGCUAAUUGGCAAAGUCUCAAUUUUCCUUUUAAAAUCAAGUCAGAGAUUUUUUCCACAUAAGUUUUUAAUUUUUACUCUGUUUAUUUGGUAAAAAUAUCCAUUCCAAUAUAAUAUCUUCCCUUUGCAUUAAAAUUCCUGUAGGAGAAUGCUUUGAGGGUAAAAUAACCAAAAUGUAGUUAAGCUUUGGAUCCACAGGAUCCAUAUGUCCUUCAUGUACUUUCUUUUCCACCAAGGCUGAUUCUCUCUCAGCUUCAACUGAUAAUUAUCUUGGACUAUUUAAGUCCUUGUCACCUUGUAAGGUUUUGAACAAAUUACUCAGUUCAUCAUUUUUUACCCCAACAACAGUUCGUAGAUGGGAAAUGUCUCUGAAUAAUCUUUGAAAGUCAUUAAGAGUCCAUAAUUGAUCUCUCCUAAUUUGCACCCUUUUUUGGGGGGGUGGGGUCUAAUUUUUUUGUAGACCUAUUUUAUACCCUAAAUAAUUAAUAGAAUCUUGUUACAAGCUGCAAAAAUAUACAAAGUAGGAUUUCAGCUGAUUAUGACAAAGCUAAUACCUGGAAGACACCAAGGACCUUCCAGAGGUCAAACUGAGUGAGGCUCAAGGAGCCUUGGUGAUAUUUGGCUUUUGAUUAUCAGCCGUUUACUGCUAUGAGUUUCUUGUGUGCUAUUGUAGCUUUUCUGCACUGACAGCUAUGCACAGCCAGAACCCCAGGUCAGGCCUCCCUGUAAUUAUUUUCAUUGGCAGCAUCCAGCCAGGACUAUCCCUAGAUGGAGGAAAGUACCUUAUCAGAGAUACGUCUGUACUCUCUAAGAACAGACUUAAGCAUCCAGACUACCCAUUUGAGAAGGCCUGGUGGAUAUGCCAAUUAAGUUUAGCUUCCUCCUUUCCCAACUCUUACCUCUAGUUACAGAUAUCCAUUUAACUGUCACCAGAGGCAUCUAGCUGUACACAGGUUGCCUAGAGACCAGAGCACACUUUCUCCCACCCUGCAGAUAGCUUGGACAGAUAGGAGCCACAGGAAAAAAGAAGGCAGUUUUAUUUUCUCCCAUUGACCUUAACAUUUUCUACCAGUCACGUUUAAGAUUAUAGUUGAGCACAUAAGAUCCCUCUUCUUAGAUAUUACCCAAAUUUAUCCUUUAGUUAAUUCAUUUCCUCAUUAGUCACUUCCCUCUUGGGUUGCAAAUGAUAAUUAAUGGUUAUUGCCUCUCUAUGUGAUUCUUAUCACCCCUCCAUUUGACCCUGGAAGCCCGGCUUUACACUGCCAAGGGAUUACUGCUUGUAAGUGCAUAUAUACCACAACUCCCAGGGGACAGGAUGAAGAAGAUUUGGAAGAAUCAAUGACUGGACUAAGAGACAUGGUGAACGGUUGGUGGUAGCGCAGGCGUUAUCGCUACAAAUGGAGGUUCCACCGAGAUCUGAGAAGGAAGGGACAUCGCUGAUGGACACCCAGGUGAGGCUGGCCAGCAAUUUAAAGAAAAAAGAAAAGAUGAGGGUGAAUUGAAACAGGUGCAGCCAGCUCACAGUCAGUUAAUUGGACUGCUGAAGCAGGAGAGCACCGAAGUUAAGAUAGGGCAAGACAGCUAAAGAUUUUAAAUAAAAAGGAAAUCUUCCCAAUAGAGAAGAGGGAAGGAAAGGAAAUUUCCCAUUAGAAAAGGGAAAAAAAAUUUAAUCAAGAAAAAAGGAUUUUCCCAGUAAAAAGGGGAAAAAUUUUGAAACUAGGCCUAAAGAUUAGGGCCCUGUAGAGGAAGGAUGAAGGAAAGAGAGAAGCCUUUUCCCAGUGGUAAUGGAGGAAGAAAAGGCUCUUUCCAAUUAUAGAAUUUUCAGGAUAGCUAAAACUCUGAGCUCUUUCUGCCUGCCAGCACAGAACAGCAGCAUCUGAAUUACAAAAAAUCAACAGGUGGGCCUCAUUGCUGCUGGAUGAACAAGCAAGCAAACCCAGAGCUUAAAGUUUCAUUGUCUGUUUGCUUAAUUUUGGUUUAAAAAAAUGUUCAUUUUUUUCCCUCAGUGGGAAUAAUUCAAUAUUUAGGAUCCCUUCGUGGGAAAUGUUUUUGUUUUUUCCCUUAUGGUGGGAAUAACUUAUUAUUAGGUAGUCCUUUCAUGGGAAGUAAAAGAAAGUUUAAAAGUGAGUGCACGUGUCCAGCAUGGCAGCAAAGGUGUGUGCAAGAUAGCCUGGAGCAGCAGGUGGGCAGGUACACGCAGGCGGGUGUCAUAGCCACAAGACCGAUGAAGGGAACAGACUUGCGGGAGGGCAAGCGAGCAGAGGCCAGGAGAGGGACUAGCACUAAAAGUUUAAACGGGCCCAACUUCUGGUGAAAAAUGGUUUCGGUCCGACAUGGAUUGCUAAGUCAAUGCUGUUGAAUUUCCAGGGAUAUUAAUCAUUCAUUGUAUAAAGGAUGUUCUGUUCUUUUGAUUGUCUUAAUAAAUGUUUGGAUUCUCAUGGUAGAUAAACUAAGGAACAGAAUUCAUAAUUGUGAACUAUAUAUUAGGUAUGCUCUUGUCUGUUGAUCAUUACUGAUAAUUUGGCUCUGCUCUUUAAGUUGCUUUCUAGAAUUCUAGAAAUAUAACACCUGAAAUGGAUUGGGUUGUUAGCUUAUUAAAUAAUGUUGUUGCUAAGAUAAACCCAUAAAAAAUAAUCUCUUACUGAUAAAGAGGUUACAAAAUUAUUUUUCCAGUAAAUAAAAUACAGGUAAAUUGUUUGGUCCACAUUGUUAAUAAUUGGUUAUUUGCAUUAAUGUGUUAUUUGAAAUCUAUAAAAAAGGAUCCUAUUUUUAAGAUUUUAUAAAAAUACUCAAGAGUAUCCUCUUCAAAUCCUAUAAAGAUUGUAUUUAAUGCUUUUAUAAUUGGUAUAUGUAAAAAGGACCAUGAAAAUAGAAGCUGGUGAUAAAAUCGCUCGAUUAUUAUUGUUUUCAUAUUUAAAUUGCAAAAUGGCACCUAUAUGUAGAACUGGAGGCUUUGAAAGUACAGGAAAAAGGUGUUUUGGCAAACAGUUAUCAAUGAUAAACAGCCUAAAUUAAAAAUAAAAUUAUAUAGGAUUGAGAUUAAAAGAUUACUGGAUUCUGGUGCUGGACAAGAAUCCUGAGAUCCCAACUGGCCUCUACAAGAAGUCAGGAAAAUGGAGACUGUUACAAGAUCUUAGAGCUGUAAAUAAAACCAUGCUUCUCAUGGGAGCAACACAGCCUGGUUUGCCUGCCCCAUGGCAAUUCCUAAACAUUGGCAUUUAAUUGUGGUUGACUUAUAUGGAUGAUAUUUUAUUGGCUGCUAAAGAUAAAAAACUUGUUUUUGAUGCCUUUUCUAAAUUACAAGAGGUUCUUAGCCUGGCUAAUUUACAAAUAGUUCCAGAAAAGGUACAGGUAUCUUUUCCCUAUCAUUAUUUAGGUCAUGAAUUGUUACGCACAGGCAUACGUCCACAAAAGAUUACUCGGUGUACGGAUCAGCUACGCACGCUUAAUAAUUUCCAAACCUUUCUGGGAGAUAUUCAAUGGCUUUGGUCCACUUUAAAGAUUCCAACAGGUCAACUUCACCCUUUGUAUGAUGUCUUAAAGGGCGACCCUGAACCUUUAUCUCCCCAUGAAUUAACAGCUGAAGGGUGUACAGCCCUACAAUGAGUGCAAGAGGCACUGGAACAGGCACACAUGCAGUAUAUAGAUCUUUCUUCUCCCUUAUUGUAUUUGAUAUUUUGUUUUACUCAUUCACCUACUGGAGUGUUUUGGCAAACAGGUCCUAUUCUAUGGGUACAUUCCCCAGUUUCUCCAGCAAAAACCAUUAAUCCUUACCCACAGGCUGUUGCUCAGAUUAUAUUUAAGGGAAUCAAGAUCAGUGUUCAAACUUUUGGUAAGGAGCCAGAUAUUGUGGUGACCCCAUACACCCAGUCUCAAAUAGCAUGGUUGCAAGCUAAUGAUAAUGAUUGGGCCAUAUUGACAUGCUCCAUGUAGGGUCAGUUUGAUACUCACUACCCCUCCAAUGAUGUGUGUCAAUUAUUUAAAUUGCAUCCUGUUAUAUUUCCCAAGAUAGUACAGAUGACUCCUAUUCCUCAGGUCCAUGUGGUAUUUACUGAUGGCACUUCACGUGGUUUUGCUGUGGUGGUUUCUGGUAACAUAGUGAAGAGAAUGAAAGCCCAGGGCACUUCUGCCCAGAUGGCAGAGGUACAGGCACUGUUGCUUGCUUUACAGAUGUUUUCUGAUGAGAGUGUAAAUAUUUAUACUGAUAGCCAAUAUGUAGCACAUGCCAUUAUGCCUUUGGAGACAACAGCCUACAUACCAUCCAUUUCUCCCAUUCAUGAAUAUUUAUUGCAAAUGCAAGGACUUAUAUGGUCCUGCUCACAUAACCCUUAUGUGGGCCAUAUUAGAGCUCACACUCAAUUGCCUGGACCUCUAAGUGAAGGUAAUCAGAGGGCUGACGCCAUUACUCGUAUGGCUGUCACAUUAGUUUGUUCUGCCUUUGAUAAGGCUACUCAGUUGCUUCAACGUUAUCAUCUUAAUGCUGGAUCUCUUCGUCAUCAUACAGGCAUAACCCGGGAACAAGCCAUCCAGAUAGUUAAAUCAUGUCCUAUUUGUGCUGAAUUCUUACCUGUUCCUCAUUUGGGAGUUAAUCCCCGAGGACUUUUACCUAAUCAUGUGUGGCAAAUGGACGUCACACAUGUGCCUUUCUUUGGAAAAUUACAAUAUGUCCAUGUGUCUAUUGAUACAUAUUCCUCUGCUGUGGGAUGUUCUGUAUGGCAAAUGUGUUGCUGAUUGGUCAAUAAAUAAAACACUGAUUGGCCAUUGGCUAGGCAGGAAGUGUAGACGGGACAAGGAGGAGAAUAAAGCUGGGAAGUGGAAGGCUGAGUCAGAGAUACUGCCAGCCGCCACGAUGACAAACAGCAUGUGAAGAUGCCGGUAAGCCACAAGCCACGUGGCAAGGUACAGAUUUGUGGAAAUGGAUUAAUUUAAGCUGUAAGAACAGUUAGCAAGAAGCCUGCCACAGCCAUACAGUUUGUAACCAAUAUAAGUCUCUGUGUUUACUUGGUUGGGUCUGAGUGGCUGUGGGACUGGCAGGUGAGAGAGAUUUGCCCUGACUGUGGGCCAGGCAGGAAAACUCUAGCUACAUUCCUCUCUAAUUUUUGCUUCUGUCCAUUCAGGGGAAAAGGUUAAAGAUGUAAAGAAUCAUUGUCUUCAUGCUUUUGCUUACAUGGGAGUGCCAAAAUGCAUAAAAACUGAUAAUGGUCCUGCCUACAGCAGUACGGGAUUUUCAAAAUUCUGCCAAGAUUGUUCUAUCGUUAAUAAGACUGGUAUUCCUUAUAAUCCUCAAGGACAGGCUAUAAUAGAACGCUGCCAUCAUACCUUAAAAACAUAUAUUGCUAAAGUAAAAAGUGGGGAGCUAGGGGCUCAUCUCUCCUCUCCAUAUUCUAUUCUUUCCCUUGUUUUAUAUACUUUAAAUUUUUUAUCAGUGGACUCUACUGGAGUAUCCACUGCAGAUAAGCACUGGAGGGCUCCUGUUGCAAAUCAUCCUCUGGUGCGAUGGAAGGAUCUUUCUACUGGCACUUGGAGGGGACCCGAUAUGGUGUUGGUGUAGGCCCAGGGAUCUGUUUGUGUCUUCCCGCAGGACAAUGAGGUUCCUCUUUGGGUUCCUGAGCGCUGCGUGCACCCUGUGGUUGCUGCUGAAUCCCAACAUGGCAGAGACCUAUUGGGCCUUUGUGAAGAACUCUCCCCUUCUGAUGCCAAUGGGGAUUGAGAACCCAAUAUGGCCAGCCUUGGCAAGCAUUAACGUAAGCCUAGGAACUGUAGCCAUGCAGUUGGAUUCUCCAGAAGGUAAUGUAUGGUAACUGCUCUUUCAAGCAUGUUUAAGAACGUGUCACUCAGACACCUUGGAGUUUAAGGACAACCAUGAAGUUCACUGACCUCUAUUUGUUAACAGUAGCAUGCCAGCUAAGCCUUUUCACAUUUUGCAACCCUCUUCAAGCUGGUGUAGUACCCUACUUUUCAGGAGUGGCUCUGUGCAACAUCUAUUGGCCUCCUGAAAUUCAUCUAGCCUCUUUUGAAGAUACCUUAAAAUUUGUGAGCCUGAAUGUAGUCAUUAUUGAGACCAUUAGGUCUGCUCCUUGUGUGCUGUUUGUUUUUCCUUUAUGGUUCUUAGUUGUUCUUUUGCAGAGCUGCCAGCUUAAGUCAUGCUGGGAUCAAGAAAAAUGGGCCUUGGUGGUUCGUGUUCCUGGAGUUGUGUCCAUGCCAGUGGAUGCCCACACGCUCCAGAAGAGAAUCUGACAUCCCUGUUGCCAUUGUUGCUGUCAUAGCGGUGGUGGCCACUGCUGCUACUGUUUCUGGGAUUGCUAUUUCAUAAUUGGUUACUACAGCUAGCACAGUGGAGACCCUGGCAGCAAAAGUAGCUACCACAGUUAGUUAAUCUUUCAUUCUAUUGGGCAUGAUAAAUUUAACUCAAUAGUUAUAUACAUUUUGAUUGGCUUUGUAAGUUGUAAAAUUUAAAACUCAAGUUCCAUUUGCUUUUGGGAUACCAUCUUACGAGGACUCCAAUUUGCAUAAGGCUUGAAGGAAGGGAAUGGCUCAAUAGCCUUUAGGCUACUGCCUAUGGGUGGGUUAGGACUUCUGUUGGUCUUUUCUGUGUCGCACAGAUUGCAAGCCCAGCGCCACUUUGAGAUCUUUGGCAACAGUUAACUCUACAGCUCACGUGGUUGAGCCUGUAUGAUAAUGAGUAUUCAGAGACAGGUAAUGCUUGGGGGGGUGCUCACCAACCUAAGACAGAGCACUUGUGUGGCCUGGGCAGGUGUCUCCAUGAUGGGUAAGGUGACCUGCUGAUGUCCCAUGCAACCUAAGUCAGAAGCUCAUUUUUUAGUAAAAAGGGGGGACCUGUAGGGCCCUGGUCUCCUCCCAUAUUGAGUAAAGCCAUUGCCUGCUUGCCAACUUUGACCAGAUGUCCUCCCUAUGCUAAUUCCCUGCCGGUAUCCACCCUCCUGAAUGCUUUAGGGAAGUUCCUUGUUUGUGUAUCCUGCAUAUUGGGCGUUAACAGCUUAGAUGCAAGAUUGUAAAACAUCAAUAGCGAACUUCUGCCCUCGGGGGUUCUCCCAUCGUGCUUUAAGCCUGUAUUUAAGGUUUCCUCCCUCUUUCAAUAAACGGCAUUCGGUAUUCUGCUGAGGUGAAUGACCCGCUGUCUUUUGUCUCUGUUUUUCGAUCCACAGCCCCUCGCUCGGACAUGGUGAACGGGUGGUGGUAGCGCGGGCGUUAUCGCUACAUAAGAGCUCUGUGUGCUGAGAUUCUGUUUCCUGAAAAUAGUUCUCAUCAUUCAUAGUUCUCUCUCCUGAGCCCCUGGGAUAUAUAGUGUUAAGGCUGGUCCCUCUAAUAUUAUACAAGACCUGGCGCCCUUGGGUACCCAGUCUCAGGAGAGUAAUCAACCAAGCAUACUCAAAAAUCAGGGGUGUUGUUUGGCGGAGGCUGUCCAGAGAAGAGGCAGUCUCUCUGGGAAGUCGUAAAAAUGACCCCUGAAGUGCCGGCUACUGAUGGACCUCACCACAGGUGCUGCAGACCGGGAGGAACCCCAGGCCUCUUUGUGGUCCUUUUGGUUCUUUUCAAGUGAGCCAACCUCAAAGAAGGGUGAGGUCAGACCCCAGCCCCCCAGAAAAGGCAGUUGCCACCUGUGUAAGGGCAAGAUUCCCAGUACACAUCCUGCCUGGGAGCCUGCACCUCUGCUUUGGAGGUAGAGGCAAGAGGAACAGGAAUACAAGGUCAUCCUUGGCAACAUGACAAGGUUGAAGUCAGCAUGGGUUACUUGAGAUCCUGUCUCAAAGAAGAAGAAAGAAAAUACAAAACAAAACAAAAACAAACCAGACCAACCAACCGACAAACGCACAAAACCUUUUGUAACAUUCCCAGAGCCAUACAUUACAGAUGGUAGGAAACAGUGUCAGAGAGACUUCUCCAGGGCACACAGCACACCAGCGGUCAGAGGCAUGUUCUGAGUCCAGGAAGAUUAGAUAUGUGUAAUAUCUGUAUAAUAAUAAAAACAUGUAACAUUACAUCUUCAUGUAUCAGUUCAUUCAAUUUCAACAGCCCCUAUGGGUGAUAUUUUCAAUAUUAAUUAUCUUAACAUUUAAAAUUCUCAGCCAUAGUAUUUUAUUACCAUACCCUUUACCUUGGUGUUGUGUAUCAGUUUCUUCAAGAUUGAAACAUUCCUUCCUGCUGGGAAGGCUUUAAGACAGAAGGUUAACAGCUCAAAAUAGCUUCUGGAAGUCCCUGAAACUGACCAGAUUCACUUGGCUCCUCCUCCUCAAGAGUAAACCAUAGGCUUGGGAGAGUCCUCCUCAGACAAGCUGAACUGCAAAGAAGACUCUGAGACCAGACCUGCUGCCUGCAAGAAGCAGAAGGCGGCUGAGCUGCCUGGAAGAGGUUUAUACCAACCCCAUCACUUGGAGAGGACACUCUGUAACUGGCUGAGCUGCCCGCAGGCUGUAGAAUGUGCUCCAGAUUCCCAGCUUAUGUAAGCUGUCACUCAUGCAUGGGUUUGCAUUGGUGAUGCAGCUGUCUUUGGGUCAUUUCUGCUCCUAUAAGUAAGCCCCUCACCCACACCCCUGUAAGUAACCCCAAUAAAACUCAUGGUUCACAAAGUUGGA